AGAUGAGUAGCUCAGCGGGAGAGCGACGGCCUGAAAAGUCGUAGGUCGAAGGUUCGACUCCUUCCUCACCAA
RNAcentral lists this transfer RNA (72 nucleotides) under Bacteroidota bacterium. RNAcentral's name for it is "Bacteroidetes bacterium (hot springs metagenome) tRNA-Phe". It matches the Rfam family "tRNA". From Rfam's summary of the family: Transfer RNA (tRNA) molecules are approximately 80 nucleotides in length. Their secondary structure includes four short double-helical elements and three loops (D, anti-codon, and T loops). The record is from RNAcentral. Lineage: Bacteria; Pseudomonadati; Bacteroidota.